RNAcentral lists this ribosomal RNA (305 nucleotides) under uncultured bacterium. Its description in RNAcentral is "bacterial SSU rRNA". It matches the Rfam family "Bacterial small subunit ribosomal RNA", at positions 338 to 640 of the family's 1533-position model. The record is from RNAcentral.
CCUACGGGAGGCAGCAGUGAGGAAUAUUGGUCAAUGGACGAGAGUCUGAACCAGCCAAGUAGCGUGAAGGAUGACUGCCCUAUGGGUUGUAAACUUCUUUUAUAAAGGAAUAAAACGAGGCACGCGUGCCUUUUUGCAUGUACUUUAUGAAUAAGGAUCGGCUAAUUCCGUGCCAGCAGCCGCGGUAAUACGGAAGGUCCGGGCGUUAUCCGGAUUUAUUGGGUUUAAAGGGAGCGUAGGCCGGCUUUUAAGUCAGCUGUGAAAGUCCGCGGCUCAACCGUGGAAUUGCAGUUGAAACUGGAGGC